This 481-nucleotide long non-coding RNA is filed under the name Ananas comosus (pineapple). RNAcentral's name for it is "long non-coding RNA (ACOM_LNC032844)". The record is from RNAcentral. Lineage: Eukaryota; Viridiplantae; Streptophyta; Magnoliopsida; Poales; Bromeliaceae.
AAAAAAAGAAAAAUUGAGACAUUCAAUUUCUCCUCAAUUUUUUUUCUCUUUCAUCCAAACCAUCCAUCAAAAUUGAUGAAUAGUUAGAAAAUUAGGAACAUCAUAAGUUCUGUGCUCUUAGUAGUACAGUGUAUAUAUACAGAGAGUGAGGCUACUAUGCUAUCGGAAGUACGGAGCCUUUCGUGUUUCCAGCUCGUUUUCGAUGUUACGACUUUCGAAUCGUCGAUCGGCUCCGUUAAACUUGAUCUAGAGUAUUUGAAGUACCUAAAAAAUAAAUUUUAUGAUUUUACGAUAUCAUUUGCCUAGUGAACGAAGCGGCUCAAAAUCAACGGCUGAAAAUAAAAAUCUUACAAAAUGUAAUAAUAUGACAUUAAAAUUUUAAAUCAAAGAUAUUGAUCUUGUUUUAUAUAGUAUAAAGAAUUUUCUAUCAAAAUUUCACGUGAUUUAGAUAUUUCUACACCGUUAAACUUGCAAACGGCUU